GACGAACGCUGGCGGCGUGCUUAACACAUGCAAGUCGAACGGAAAGGCCCUGCUUUUGUGGGGUGCUCGAGUGCCGAACGGGUGAGUAACACGUGAGUAACCUGUCCUUGACUUUGGGAUAACACCAGGAAACAGGGGCUAAUACCGGAUAGGAGCUCCUGCUGCAUGGUGGGGGUUGGAAAGUUUCGGCGGUUGGGGAUGGACUCGCGGCUUAUCAGCUUGUUGGUGGAGUAGUGGAAUACCAAGCCUAAGACGGGUAGCCGGCCUGGGAGCGUGACCGGCGACCUUGGUCCUGCGGGACGCCGCAGUCUCGUACGGGCGGCAGUGGGGGAAAGCAUUACGGAGUAAGCGCGAGUCUGAUACAGCGGCGCUGCGUGCGGAAUGCCGGCCUUCGGGUUAUAAACCGCUUUGGACUGUAACGAAGCGUUAGUGACGGUAAUGAGUAAGAAAGCACCGGCUAACUACGUG
Molecule: ribosomal RNA, 468 nt
Filed under: uncultured bacterium
Lineage: Bacteria
Description: partial 16S ribosomal RNA
Rfam family: Bacterial small subunit ribosomal RNA
Source: RNAcentral